Molecule: non-coding RNA, 16360 nt
Organism: Callithrix jacchus (white-tufted-ear marmoset)
Lineage: Eukaryota; Metazoa; Chordata; Mammalia; Primates; Cebidae
Source: RefSeq, a predicted model, not a curated record
GUUCAUGUAUUCUCAUUGUUCAACUCCCACUUAUGAGUGAGAACAUUCAGUGUUUGGUUUUCUGUUCUUGUGUCAGUUGCUGAGAAUGAUGGUUUCCAGCUGCACUCAUGUCUCUGCAAAGAACAUGAACUCAUUCUUUUUUAUGGCUGCAUAGUAUUCCAUGGUGUACAUAUGCCACAGUUUCUUGAUCCAGUCUAUCAUUGAUGGAUAUUUGGAUUGAUUACAAGUCUUUGCUCUUGUGAACCCUGCCACAGUAAACAUACAUGUGCGUGUGUCUUUAUAAUAGAAUGACUUAUAAUCCUUUGGAUAUAUACCCAGGAAUGGGAUUGCUGGAUCAAAUGGCAUUUCUAUUUCUAGAUCCUUGAGAAAUCACCACACUGUCUUCCACAAUGGUUGAACUAAUUUACACUCCCACCAACAGGGUAAAAGUGUUUCUGUUUCUCCACAUCAUCUCCAGCAGCUGUUGUCUCCUGAUUUUUUAAUGAUCACCAUUCUAAUUGGCAUGAGAUGGUAUCUCAAUGUGGUUUUGAUUUGCAUUUCUCUAAUGACCAGUGAUGAUGAGCUUUUUUUCUUAUGUUUGUUGGCUUCAUGUCUCCUUUUGAAAAGUGUCUGUUCAUAUCCUUUGCCCACUUUUUGAUGAACUUGCUUGUUUUUCUCUUGUAAACUUAUUUAAGUUCUUUGUAAAUUCUUGGUAUUAGCCCUUUAUCAGAUGGGUAGAUCACAAAAAUUUUUUCCUGUUCUGUUGGUUGCCAGUUCACACUAAUGAUGGUUUCUUUUGCUGUGCAGAAGCUCUUAAGUUUAAUUAGACCCCAUUUGUCUAUUUUGGUUUUUGUUGCCAUUGCUUUUGGUGUUUUAGUCAUGAAGUCCUUGCCUAUGCUUAUGUCUUGAAUGGUAGUGCCUAGGUUUUCUUCUAGGGUUUUUAUGGUGUUAGGUCUUAUGUUUAAUCCAUCUGAAGUUAAUUUUUUUAAAUUGUAUUUUAGAUUUUGUGUUACAUGUGAAGAACAUGCAAGAUUGUUGCACAGGUACACAUAUGGCAGUGUAAUUUGCUGCCUUCCUCCCCAUCACCUAUAUCUGGCAUUUCUCCCCAUGCUAUCUCUCCCCAACACCCCAACUCCUGCUGUCCCUCCCCUAUUUCCCCCCCAACAGACCCCCUGGAGUUAAUUUUUAUCUAAGGUGUAAGGAAGCGAUCCAGUUUCAGCUUUCUGUAUAGCUAGCCAGUUUUCCCAAUGCCAUUUAUUUAAUAGGGAAUCCUUUCCUCAUUGCUUGUUUUUGUCAGGUUUGUCAAAGAUCAGAUGGUUAUAGAUGUGUGGCAUUAUUUCUGAGGUCUCCAUUGUGUUUUAUUAGUCUAUAUCUCUGUUUUGGUACCAGUAACAUACUGUUUUGAUUACUGUAGCCUUGUAGUAUAGUUUGAAGUCGGGUGGCAAGAUGCCUCUAACUUUGUUUAUUUUGCUUAGGAUUGUCUUGGCUAUAUGGGCUCUUUUGUGGUUCCAUAUGAAGUUUAAGGUGUUUUUUUCCUAUUCUUUGAAGAGAGUCAGUGGUAGCUUGAUGGGGAUAGCUUUGAAUCUAUAAAUUAUUUUGGGUGGUAUGGCCAUUUUCACGAUAUUGAUUAUUCCUAACCAUGAGCAUGGAAUGUUUCUCCAUCUGUUUGUGCCCUCUGUUAUUUCCUUGAGCAGUGGUUUGUAGUUCUCCUUGAAGAGGUCCUUCACAUCCCUUGUGAGUUGUAUUCCUAGGUAUUUUAUUCUCUUUGUAGCAAUUGUGAAUGGGAGUUUGCUCAUGAUUUGGUUCUCUGUUAGUCUGUUAUUUGUGUAUGGGAAUGCUUGUGAUUUUUGCACACUGAUUUUGUAUCUUGAGACUUUGCUGAAGUUGCUUAUCAGCUUAAGGAGAUUUUGAACUGAGAUGAUGGGGUCAGCUAAAUAUAUAAUCAUGUCAUCUGCAAAUAGAGACAAUUUGACUUCCUGUUUUCCUUAUUGAAUACCCUUUAUUUCUUUUUCUUGCCUGAUUGCCCUGGCCAGAACUUCCAGUACUAUGUUGAAUAGGAGUGGUGAGAGAGGGCAUCCUUGUCUUGUGCCCAUUUACAAAGGGAAUGUUUCCAGUUUUUGCCCAUUCAGUAUGAUAUCAACUGUGUGUUUGUCAUAAAUAACUCUUACUAUUUUGAGAUACAGUCCAUCAGUACCUACUUUAUUGAGAGUUUUUAGAAUGAAAGGCUGUUGAAUUUUGUCAAAAGCCUUCUCUGCAUCUAUUGAGAUAAUCAUGUGGGUUUUGUCUUUGGUUCUGUUUAUGUGAUGGAUUACGUUUAUAGAUUUGCAUAUGUUGAACCAGCCUUGCGUCCCAGGGAUGAAGCCAACUUGGUCGUGAUAGAUGAGCUUUUCAAUGUGCUGUUGGAUUCAGUUUGCUAAUAUUUUACUGAAGAUUUUUCCAUUGGUGUUCAUCAUAGAUAUCGGCCUGAAAUUUUCUUAUUUAGUUGUGUCUGUGCCAGGUUUUGGUAUCAGGAUGAUGUUGUUCUCAUAAGAUGAGUUAGGGAGGAGUCCCUCUUUUUCUAUUGUUCGGAAUAGCUUCAGAAGGAAUGGUACCAGCUCCUCUUUGUACCUCUGGUGGAAUUCGGCUGUGAACCCAUCUGGUCCUGGACUUUUUUUGGUUGGUAGGCUGUUAAUUGCUGCCUCGAUUUUGUUAUCUGUCUCUUCAGGGAUUCAACUUCUUCCUGGUUUAGUCUUGGGAGGGUGUAAGCAUCCAGGAAUUUAUCUACUUCUUAUAGUUUCACUGGUUUAUGUGCAUAGAGGUUUGUAGUCAUCUGACAGUAGUUUGUAUUUUUUGAGAUUGGUGGUGAGAUCUCUUAUCGUUUUUUUAUUGCAUCUAUUUGAUUCUUCUUUCUUUUCUUUUUUAUUAGUCUGGAUAGCAGUCUACAAGAAGAGCUAACAUUUCAAAUGGCAAAAUAAAGAUUCAGACAUUUGUAUUAACCUACACAUGUACCCCUGAACCUAAAAUAGAAGUUGGAAAAGGAAUUCAUACCUCUUGCUAGGUGGAAAUCAGUUCUUCAUAAGAAUAUGUGAAAAGUCCAUCAGUUAGUUCAAAAUUAGUAGGCAGGUCAUGAAGUUUUAACUUUGCAGCAAAAUGUCAAAAAUGAGUUUGGGUUUUAGUGAACUACAGGCUUAAGAGUAGCCAGUUGGUGCUUCAAAAGUUAAAACCAAGAGAGCUGAGAGCUGUGCUGAGGUUUAGAAUGGUGAAUGAGACUUCCUGCAUCUGAGGUGUUUGCGUCCUGUCUCCUGGCCUAUGUUAGGGCCUGUGUGCUGCUAGGGCAUUCCUGAUCUGGAGUCCAACAUGGUGAGAUGAGGGGAGAGGAGGUAGAAGGGUUCCCAGGGUGGUCAAAGUGAAUCUUGACAGAUGUGGAGGAAAUUGGUAAUACCUGACCUCCAAGGGAGAGUUGGGGUCACUGGACAUGCACAGUCUGGAGAAGAAAAGACAUCAUGGUGACUCAACCGAGUGCCAAAAAUUAAACACUGUCAUUCAGGAGAGGAAAUAACGUUUAUUUUUCAGUGUUCUGGGGCACCUAGAAGGCAAAGUGAUGAGAAUAUUUAUAUUAUUUCAGGAAAAGAAAGUUUUCCAACGUAAGCAUGAGCCAGCACUGGGACUGCUCAUCUCACAGUGAGUCUUUGGACAUCUGAAGUGAGCAAAUGAGACCCAAAUGCCCGGAUCUUUCAGGCAUAAUAUGUGGAGGAGAGUCUUGUAUGACAUGGGAGCUUGGCUCUGAUGACCUCCCAAGUCCCUAGCUUCUUUAUGAUUCUUUAGGUUAUCUGGACAUUUCAGGGGGCAUGUUUUGUUCUCGUGUUCAACAACACAUAAAAGCAUGUGAGGUCAAUAAGUAUUGCAUCUGGGAAAAGAGAAACAGAAUUGUGAACUAUUCAAGGCCAAAACGUACUUAACAAAUGGAGUUUUUAACUUGAGGUUCCUGUUUUUAGUCCUGUGUACAAUGAAGAUUUCUGCUGGUGAUUACUUUCAGUUGCAACAUUAUAAUUCACAGAAUUGAGUAGGAAUUCCAAAAUAUAGAAAAAGAAAGAAAACCCAAAACUGUUAGAAUCCACAUGAAUUUUAAUGAUUUAUUAGCAUAUGCACAAAGCGUGAAUGUUAAAUAUGGCAAAUUGAUUGAUCCGAGGCAAACUUCCAAGGGGGAAAACGCUGCAUCCUCUGUCUCUUUCAGUUAACAUCUGCCAUGUAGUGGAGGUUCCAGAGAAAAAGUGAGAGGAGCUGAGUUUGCACCCUUGACGUGGAGAAAAUCAGCUCCUUUCGGACCAGAACGGAGGGCAGAGGAAGGGCUGCAACGUGAUGGGCAGCGAGGGGUUUGGCCCUAAGAAAGAGGAGAAGGGAUUCACCCUGGCUCCCGUUCCAUCGGUGAGGACCAGUCAUACGGCUCUGCCCUAACACAAAGUUGGGUAGCUGCUUUCCAGAAACAGUUCAACACCGUGGAAGGAGAGCACAUGUUUGCCAUGCAGCACCUGUUAACUGCUGUUCGACUGUCUACUGCCAUGAGAUCGACUUUUUCAGAUUCCGUAUACGAGUGAGAUAGCAAGCUAUUUGUCUGUCUGUGUUAAGGACGCUUACCAUCCAUAUUGCGGCAAAUAGCAGGAUUUCAUUCUCAUGACUGAAUAGUACUUCACUGUGUAUACGGACCACGUUUUCUUUGUAUCUUCAUUUGCCGACGGACAGACAUUUAAUAAAUGUGCAAAUAGAGGCAAAAAUGGCUUCAUCUGCAGUGGAAGAAGAAAGUUAACAGGUCCUCUAAGGGACAGAAUUUGUUUCCAUGUCCACAGACGAGAACAAUGUUUUGCACUUCUGUCAGUUACAUGUAAGAGAUGAAGCUGUAAAACAGUCCCCAUUGAAUCAGAAUCAGAGAACCUGGAGGAGUAUCUCUAAGCAAUGCACCAUUUUCCAGCCAAGCACAAUUUUUUCUCUAAAACUAAACUCUUAGAAGAAGUAGGCUCGACUUUCUGUUGUUCCCGUCUGUGGAAGGAUAAAAAGGGUCACGAGUUAUUUGCAGCUGCUCACAUCAAGAGACGGAGUCCAUUGGCCAGGAGCGCGGGCUCACUCCUGUAAUCCCAGCACUUUGGGAGGCUGAGGCAGGGGGAUCACGAGGUCAGGAGUUUGAGGCCAGCCUUGUCAACGCGGUGAAACCCUGUCUCUACUAAAAAUAAAAAAAAUUAGCUGGAUGUGGUGGCAGACACCUGUAAUCCCAGCUAUUUGGGAGGCUGAGGCAGGAGAAUUGCUUGAAUCCAGGAAGUGGAGGCUGCAGUGAGUUGUGCCACUGUGCUACAGCCAGGCAACAGUGUGAGACUCCAUCUCAAAAAAAAAAAAAAAAAGAUGGAGUCCGUUUUCUUACUCCUUGAAUCUAGACUGGCUUUUUGAGUUGUUUUGAUUAAUAAAAUGUGGUAGAAGUGGCCUUGUGCAACUUCUGAAGGUGGACCCCCAGGAGGCCCUGCAGCUUCCACUCCUGCUGUCUUAGAAACCUGCUGCCCUGUGAAUGAGCCUGAGCUACCCGCUAGAAGGACCAAGUAACGGAGGACCAGAGUGCUCCAGCCAACACUCUGCCAACCACCAGAUAUGUCAGUAAGGCCGUCUUACAGCAUCCAGUCCUGUCCAAGCUGUCAACUGACCAUGGCCAGUGAGAGUCCAUGUGAGAGCAGCAGAAGGGAUGUCCAGCUGGACCUAAGUGAAGUUACCAACCCACGAAAUCGUGAAUACAUGAAUCACUUUUAAGCCAACAGGGUCUUGCUCUGUUGCCUGAGCUGGAGUACAUUGGUGUGAUGACAGCUCCCUGCAGCCUCACACUCCUGGGCUCACUCGAGCCUCCCACCUCAGCCUCCUGACUAGCUGGGACUAUAGGGUAGUUCCUCUGCACAUGCUGUCUUGAUGCCACCACGUAAGAUGGGCCUUGGCUCCUCCUUCGCCUUCUGCCAUGACUGUGAGGCCUCUCCAGCCAUAUGGAACCGUGAGUUGAUUAAACCUCUUUUUCUUUAUAAAUUACCGAGUGUUGGAUAUUUCCUCAUAGCAGUAUGAAAAUGGACUAAUACAUAUAUGCAUACGUAAAGCCAUUUCAAGAGACUUUGCUUCCUGAAGUUUGUAAAUGUAAAUAAAUUUAUUGUACCAUCAUUUAGGUUACCACAUUCCUCACUAACGCAGAAACAAUAUCUAAAAUGGGUACUUAUGUGGUUAUUAAAAAUAUAGCAUGAAUAUGGCUUUUGGGAAAGUCAAUGACAGAUAUAUUUUGAGGCCACAAUUCUACAUCUCUUGCGAUUCUGUUGUACACAUUUGGUAUUGAACAAAAGCCAAAACUUUGGACUCCUUUGAUUAAAGCCAAGGUCAAGUAAUCCUGCUGGUUCUCUCUUCCCAUUUCUUGAGGGAAGGAUGUAGUCAUAUAAGAUGCUAUUUAGUAAAAUGGUGCCUGUGAGUUCGACGUGCAAUGUCUGGCAAGUGUUUUUCAAGGUCUUACAUACACACUAUAUUUCCCUUCCUCCUUUCCCCUCUUCAGCCUCAAUCCCCAUCACCCAGUGUUUCAUAAGGUUUGACUUUCUGUAGCUUAUACUGUAAAACCCCAAGUAUAACCUUGUCUAAUAAUAUUAAUUGCCCUUUCCCUAACUCGACAUGCCUCCCUGGAGAUUGUGAUGGGUGAUUCUUUCUCCUCCAUCUUCCUUAAGCAUUUUUGGUCUAGUGGAAUAUUCGGUGGCAAAGCUCUCAUUCUGGAAAACGUUUAGCCGUGCAAGCAGAGAAGAAAUAAGCCAACAGUGGUAAACAGAGUUAAUGCAUAUAGUUAAAUCUUCUAAACAUGUCUCCUGAAUGAUGCCACAUUUUCCUUUUUCAAACUGGGAAUCAACAAAAUGGAGGAACAGUUGAGGUUUGUUAAGAAAUUUCCCUUCUUAUCCAUAGAACUAAGAUUUUUUUUUUUUUUAAAUAAAGAAGGUCAUAGUGGGCCACAAAUGAUGUGCAUUUCUAGGAUCCCAAAGUGUUUUAUUGAUGGAGUUAUAUGUAGGGAUUUAAUGGAACUGUGGUUGAAAGAUGCUUUGAAAGUCUUUGAUCACUGGGAUAUCACUGGAACAAAUGAGCUAAAAGAUUUUCAGAGUUUCUUCAUUUACCCAGGUAACAGGGUGAGGGUAAUGGUGGAGAGAAGGGGAGGUCCAGGGCAUUAAUGACUAGUACUCCAUGUGAAAAGAAGAAUUGACUGGUAACAUCUGCACUGUUUUCAUUAGCAGGCUGCCAUAUACUGUUGUGCAGCUUUUGCAUUGCACAGUUCUUGGGAAGUUGGGCGUUCAUAUUUGUGGCCGUUAUCAGUUUCUGUAUUUAUAAUGGCAAUUUCCCAGCAAUUUUCUAGGUAUGUUGUCCUGAGAAACUGUUAGAUUCCUCUAAUUUUUGCAAAGAUACCUUUGGGAAGUUGAAGGACUGCCCGAUUACUAUUAGACAAUCCUGCUACUGAUACAUACUUGUCUUGUGUAAUUUGGACAAAAUAUAAUAUUCCUGAAUCUUAGAUUCCUUGUUUGUAAAAUGGUUAAAACAUAUCUAAAUGUAAGAAUUGUUGUAGCAUGUGAGUUUAUGUGAGUAUAUGAAUGUGGCCGUCACAGCAGCUGUAAAUAGACGAUUAUUAUUAUAAAUAUUGUUAAAGCAUCGUGAUGUUUUAUUUUAAGCUGAUAUUCUUUCUUUAUGCUGACUUUACACAGAAUUUUAAAAAAUAUACUUGAGUUUAGUAUUUGCAUACAACUACUGAUGGAAAUCUGAUGAAAAACACUAAUAGUACUUUAUAAAAGAUAUUUUCAAUAUGAACUUUUUGUUUCCAUUGUGAGAAAUUGAAUUUCAAAACGUAAUUAUUAAAUAUAUGCCUGAAUUUCAAAUAUGUUUUUGUCUAUCCAGCUAAUUCAAAAUGUUAUUAUGUAAUAAUAGUUAAAUGUCAUGUUUACUUUAUUAGAAGGAAUACCUUCAAAUUAUUAUUAUGAUUACCAUUUAUUUAGCAUCUUCAGCAUGCAGGGCAUUUAUAAAAUCUGUAGAAAUGAAUUUUCUCUAAAUGCAGCAAGUUGUAUGACCGACACGCACUGUCUAUAAAAGAUGACUUGGUUGGCAGAAAAGGAAAGAGUUUCUUCAGACAUUCCAGCCCCAGUCAGCCCUGGUGACAUCUGCAUAUCAGGUAACUCCCCAAUCCCUGGUCACAUUUGAUGGGUCCAGGAUGGAAUGUGACCCAAGCUGAGACAAUCAGACUUAGUCUCUUGAUAAUUUAAACUCAGAGCUCCAGUGACUGAACUAGGCAAUAACAGACAUUCUAUGUGUAAGUUAGAGAGAGUCGGAGACAGGAAACUCAACUCACUAGAAAGCUGCUGUUAUAGUAACUGGGUGUCCUAGGUUCUUGGCCUCCCCUGCCCCAGGAAUGGGGAAAGAGGUCCUGGAGGUGCAGUGGGCUUACCGUUCAUAUAAAUAUCAUGGACCCAUAGAGUUUGGCAGAGAGUGAUUUAUUAGUCAGAGAGAGAGAGAGAGAGAGAGAGAGAGAGAGAGAGAGAGAGAGAGAGACAGUAGAGAGAGAGAGAGAAAGAAAGAAAGGAAAGAGAGAGAGAAAGUAGAGAGAGAGAGAAAGAAAGUAGAGAGAGAGAGAAAGAGAGAAAGAAAGGAGAGGGAGAGAGAGAAAGAAAGAAAGUAGAACGUGGAGUUUUGAUUUGAAGUUAUUCCCGCCCCAUUCAUGUUCUUGUCCAAUGGGAGGAGUUCUUUCAAACGUCCUCUGGAGUGAUUGAUCUUUGCCUUUGGUCCCAGAUUGGUUGUUUGGGCCCACAACAGAGCCUCUCCUUCCAGGGCUUUUGGCAGGCUUUUGUGAACAAAGGAAGCUCACCCGGAAUUUUACCCAGCCUGCGUGGGAAGGCCAGACAAAGAGCUCUAGGUUCCCAGAGGGGAGGGGAAUGGAGGCGUGGUGCUGGGAAGCUCUUGCCUUGGAAACCACGCCCCCGUGGACCUGGGAGGAGAAGGGAACAUAGUUCCUCAUUUUGGAGAAACAAAAAUAACUGCUUUGCAGAAGAUGGUCUGGAAAAGUAGAGAAGUUGCCCAAGAGAGGGACAAAACUGCUUUAAGAGUUUUUCUUUUUUUUUGGGGGGGGGGGGAGCUAAAUAUACUUUCUAUAUUUGGUAACUCUAAGAUAACCUUGUAUCUCUCUUCUAAAUUCCCCCUUCCACUUGAACUUGAAUGGUGGAUUCCUCUUACUUUCAACUGAAAAACACUUAAGAUAUUUGUCUUAAGGAAGAUUUAAUAUAGUUAUUUUGUGAACAACAAAAGCCUUUUGUUGAGCUACUGUCCUUCCAGUGAGACACACACACACACCCCGUUCUAGAUCAGUUGGAAGAGGAUCAUGGAGGCAGUCACCACUUUCUUUCCUCUUUCUUGAAUAUAAAUAUGAAUGUAACUGAUUACAUCGUCUAGGAGAUGAAAACUCAGGAAAUGUCUUUCCAGUGGCUUCUGGUUCUUCCCAACGUGAAAUUUGGAAGACGGUUAGGAAUAAUUUCCAGCCAUUUUAGAUGCAUGUAGUUUCCGCUGGAUAAGGAACUAGAAAAUAGGGCAAUGGUGCUGUUUUCCCUGAGGUACCUACAAUACGUCUUGUGAUGCAGUCUUCAUAAGGCACGUGACAAAUUUCAUAAUUUUGCUGAGUAGAAAAAUUAGAACAAUGAAUGUCUUUUACAUCCAUAACAGCUGAAAAUUUAGAUUUGAUAAUUAUCUUCUGGAUUCCAUUAUAUUCUGUGGGAUUUUUUUAUUGUUUUUUUCCUUUAUUAACUAAUGAAGCAAUUGGCCAAAUCUGGUAGUACAACACUAUAUGGAACCUACCUUGCUAUCCUUGUGGGAAAUUUCUUAAGGUUAAAAUUUGAUUGUGGGAAUAGUCAAAUUCGGAGGACUCUUUUAAUAAUAAAAUUGUAGACAAUGGAAGAAGGCUGAAGCCUGCCGAUAAAAUAGAACUUGGCACUUCUUGGAAUUCACAUAAAAAAGCACUAGCUGCUAUGAUACAUAGUGUAAGACGGUGCUUUCAUUAGGUAGUAUCUCUGACCAAAACCAUACACUAUAAAGGCCAUAUAAUGGGUGAUCAUUUGCUUAUCCUGUGUCUGUUGAUACUCAUUUUUGCCCUGUAAAAUGAAUUAUGAAUUGUGCAUGUGGUGGUCAUUUACCCUAUCGCUAAAUGCAGCUAAUUCUGGGUAAAAGAGAACAGCUGUUUGACAUUCGCCCCCAAACUUACUGAGGCAGAAAGGAGGACUUGCGUUAUCCAACUGAAGUAGCCGGGUAGUCUGUUCUUGCCGUUUGGGUUAAAAUACGCUGUGCCUUUAUCUCCACAAAACAGCCUCAUUGUGUUGAGGUUGUUUGCCAGUUUCGUUCUAGCAAGCCUCAUGGUAAUGGAAUAUUAUUAUUAUAUAUAUUUUUUGAGACAGAGUUUCGUUCUUGUUACCCAGGCUGGAGUGCAAUGGCGUGAUCUCGGCUCACCGCAACCUCCGCCUCCUGGGUUCAGGCAAUUCUCCUGCCUCAGCCUCCUGAGUAGCUGGGAUUACAGGCACACACCAUCAUGCCCAGCUAAUGUUUUGUAUUUUUAGUAGAGACAGGGUUUCACCAUGUUGACCAGGAUGGUCUCGAUCUCUCGACCUUGUGAUCCACCCGCCUCGGCCUCCUAAUGUGCUGGGAUUACAGGCGUGAGCCACCACCCCCAGCCGGGAUGUUAUUUUUAAUGGGACUUUCAGGACAACAAUCAAAUUUUGUAAAUUAUAUUUUAAUACUUUUGAUUUCUUUGCCUUCGUGAGAAGAGAGAGAAUAUGAUGAAAUUUGGGGAAAAAGUGAAAUUUUUCCAUUACAAAGACUAUUAUGAAUAAAUACAUAGAAUGUUUUGAGGAAGUAAAAACUGAUUUAACAAUGUUAUAACACAAGAAAUUGUUGAAGACAGAAACAAGCAUGGAACAAUUAAGUGGAGAGGGAUUCUGUGUGCUUCAUGAAAACAACAAUGAAAACGUAAUUUGAUUUAUAAACCAAAAUGAAUGCUUUAUAGCCGUGACCACAUAACACCAUUGGAUUCCCUAAAACUAUUUCAGCAUCCCAGUCUUGUUAAUUCACAUUGCAUACUAUUACUAACUUAACUAUGCCGGGGUAACAUAUUGAAAUUAUAGAGGGAUUAUUGACAAAAGGCAAUAUUAUGUUUUCCAAACGCAGAAUAAUUCACAUUCCUAUAGCAGGGCCCCUAAUCACUAGGAGUUCUGACAGCCCUUCAGUAAAGGCAAAGAAAUGAUCAACCACAGUGAGAAUCCUGUUUGUAUGCAAACAACGCUUCUGAAAGUGCUUGAUCUCAGUUUGUCUAUCUAAGAAGUUUAAUCAACACCCUAAAUUUCUGCAGUCUAGUUCGAAACUGUAAUUUGUAUAAUCAAACAUUCUAUGGAGUACAAAGUUAAGCAUACAUUAAUACCAUGUAAAGUUCUAAUGAGUGGACGUAGAUUAUUGAGGCUUUGCAUCCGUUCAGUAAUCCACGUCAACAGGCAGAACAAAUAAUCGUUACGGAGAACGAAAAAGAUAACUUGUUGCUUUGUUCAAGGUCAUUUAGUAGAUUGGUAAUUAAGGUCAUUCUUUAUUUCUGCUUCCGGUUCUCCAAGAGUGCUGUUCUGACCCAUCAUCGCCAUAAAGCCACCCUGUAGUUGACCUCACCCUACAGUUGAGCAAUCCUUUUACUCUCCAUAAACAUAGAAUGCUGAUUGUGAUAUACUACAAGAUAUAAUAGAAGGUCGAUUUUAUUUCAGUUUUCCUCACUUCACAAGUAUACUUAAGUACUGUAGAGGCAUAUUCCUCCUGAUAAUCACUAGGAGUAGAGGCUAUAGCAAAUUAAAAUAAUGAAGCAUUUAGAUGUUAAAAGUUGGGGGUAUUGAUAAAAGGAAGAGAAUAUACUCUGAUUUUUAAAAAGAGAAAAAAAUCAAAGAAAAAAGGAAAGCAAAAAAGAGAGAAAGCAAGCAAGUAAUCAAGCACAAAGUCAUGACAGAGUGAAAAUAAAUAUAUUUUGCUGGUUAAAAAUUAACAGGUAUCAUAAAACCAAUGACAGUUUCCUUUGAUAAUGUAUCAACUCAAACCCAAUAAAAGUAGUUGAACAGGUCAUGCUUCUGCUUUUCAUCCCCCUUUUAGGUAAUGCCAUUCUUUCAUUGUGAUGGUCUUACUUGUAGUUGAAAAAAAUUUAUAGCUAAAUAAGCUAAUGAAUGUUAACCAUUUUGUCGUGUGAAGGCUGAGGAUUGUAAAUAAACAUCAAAAGGAGUGAUUGUUCUUUAGAUGACGUCUGUUUAUAAUAGGAGGCGUGAGUUAAGCAAUGCAUCUCAAAUAAAAGAUGUUUUACUGCCAUCAUUGCUCGUUACCUGAGCUACCCACAUGACCAGAGUAAAGUUAGAUAAGUGGAGACAAAUAGUCCACACUGGGCCUGCACGGUGGCUCAUGCCUGUAAUCCCAGCACUUUGGGAGGUUGAGGUGGGAGGAUCACCUGAGGUCAGGAGUUCAAGAUCAGCCUGACCAACGUAGUGAAACCCCAUCUCUACUAAAACUAUAAAAAUUAGCCAAUUGUGAUGGUGGGGGCCUGUAAUCCCAGCUACUCUGAAGGCUGAGGCAGGAGAAUUGCUUGAAUCUGGGAGGUGGGGGUUGCAGUGAGCCAAGAUUGUGCUACUGCACUCCAGCCUGGGCAACAGAGGGAGACUCCAUCUCGGAAAAAAAAAAAAAAAAAAAGAGAAAGAGAAAAGAGAGAAAUACUCUACACUGGGUCUUAGAAGAUAAUAAAUUCUGAGCUACUAUUUCAAAUUAAAAAAAAAUUGUUAAUCUGUUUCGGAAGACAUUGAUCCAUGUUUGACUGCAGCCAAAAAUGCCAGCAUAAUACCAGGUAUAACCAGGAUUUAGAAUAAAACUAAACACACACACACACACACACUUUUUUUUUUUUUUUUUUGAGACGGAGUUUCGCUGCUACCCAGGCUGGAGUGCAAUGGUGCAAUCUCGGCUCACUGCAACCUCCGCCUCCUGGGUUCAGGCAAUUCUCCUGCCUCAGCCUCCCAAGUAGCUGGGAUUACAGGCACACGCCACCAUACCCAGCUAAUUUUUAAAAUAUUUUUAGUAGAGACAGUGUUUCACCUUGUUGACCAGGAUGGUCUCGAUCUCUUGACCUCGUGAUCCACCCGCCUCGGCCUCCCAACACACACACUCUUGUAAUGAGGGUAUUAUACAGAAAAUUCUUAUGGUCGCUUCUAACUUGACUAUUGGACAUUGCUAAAAUUUUAAAGAAUAUAUUUACUUAUUUUUUACUGUUAAUCUUGCCAGAUAAUUGGCAAGAUAUUUUUAAUUUAAAUAUGUUAUUAAACUGUACAUUUUCAGAAACUUUUGUUAAGGAAAGAAGAUGAGUAUAAAUGUUUAUGUAAGACAGCGAUUCUAAGGUUAACAGGCAAAUCAUGUUUGCUGUAGGAAAGGAGAAUAUUUUAGAGACUAUAUAUCUUUUAAAGAACUAGAAGCAGCCACUGUAUUUAAAGCUAUGUAUUCCCUUCAUUGGUGACGGUCACAUUACUUACAUUUUUCCCUUAAUUCAGUUGCAAACUUACAAAUUCAUAUUGUUCCUUUUUUCAGUAUACUUUAUGUACUAACUUAGUCAUUUAACAACUUUUUUUCUGAUAACAUGAUAGUGAUAUCUUUGUUAUCAGUUACUGGAAUAUAUCAUACAAAUUGAUUUUUCAGGCAGUUGACAGAGCUGCAAGCUAUAAAUAUUUUAACCAUUUGAGGAGUAUUCUUUCUCAAAUCUAGUACAUAGUUCCUACUGCAAAGGAUAUACUGAGAAAAUGUAAAUGUUGUUAUGUGGGCCAAAAAGAUUAUAAGUGGCAGUGGUCUAUUUUGUUGCAAUAUGACUCUUGGAGUUUUAAUUAACCUGCAGUUUUGUGUCCUAUCUACAUAUAUAUAUACAUAUCCACUGAGGGCAGGGAUCCGUACUGUCUGAGUCCCACAUUGGGCUCUCCAGAGAGUGAGUGGGGGGUAACUGUUUGUGAGUUACAUGUUAGGGGCUAAAUUGUGCCUCCCCAAAUUCAUAUUUUGAAUUCUUAACCCCCAGUAUCACAAAAUGUGACUGUGUUUGGAAAUGGGGUCUUUAAUGAGACAAAGUUAACAAGUGGUCAUUAGGGUGGGCUCUAAUCCAGUGUGACCAGUGCCCUCAUCAAAGAGGAAAUUGCACACAGACACAUACAAAAGGAAGAUAUCUGAGGACUCGGGGAGAAGGUGGUGCUCUUUGAUCUCCGUCCUCUAGCCCCCAGAACCAGGAUAACAGAAUCUGUGGUUUAAAUCAAUCACCUAAUCCGUGGUACUUUGUUAUGACACCCCUAGAAAGUACUGAAAAGUGAUAAUCCCGUGUUGCUCUGUGGGAGAACCAAGUUUGCCAACAGAAUGUUAUGCAUUUAUUAUUCUUAUGCUUUUUUUUUGUCUUGUAUCUCUCGGUGGGUCUCAACAGGUCAACUUUGACCUGUCACUUAAAAGUGCUUGAAUACUAGAAUAUUCACCUCAUGAGAAUAAUUUAAACUCUCAAAGCCUUUGUGGUUUUUUUAUUUCUGCAUUUUAAGUUGUCUUUUGAGCUUUUUUUCCUAUGGAAAGAGUCUGAGUAACUGGAGAUAUAGCAGCAGAGUUCUGUUUGAAAGUCUUUUCUGUACUAACCUUAUGACUUUCGUAUCUAUUUCUCUGUCAAAGGAGAUUGGUGGUAACACUUUAUCAGGGAGCUGUGGGAUUCAAGUGAAAUGCUGCAUGUGAAAAAUCACUUUGCAAGCUUAGCAGUGUGGCUCAAACAAACUCUCAUCAUUAUAACUAGAAGUCUGGCCUGCUGACAAAUAUCUGUUGACAAGGAAGGAUUUGUUGUACCAGUUAGUUUAUCGUUAACCAACAAUAAAUUAUUGAGUCAGGACACACAUCAGAUGCAUGUGGUCAUUUCUUUGAAGAUAGAGAAUGGCAAGGGGAAGAUCUAAAUUCAUGUUGUGAAAGGAUUGGCUGUAGUUUCUUUGGAAUUUUUUUUAAAGGCUGGAGAGAUAAAAUUUUGUCUUUUCUCUUUUAAUAAUUUUGAAUUAUACUUUUCCCCUCAUUUAAACUUAUGUUUUAUUUAUUUUUGAUUAUUCAGCGUGACAUAUCUUUUAAAAACAAUUUUAGGAGACUGAGUGCUGCUGUCUGCCCAGACUGGAGUGCAGUGGCAGCAUCACAGGUCACUGAAUCCUUGAAAUCCUGGGCUCAAGAGAUCCUCCCACCUAAGCCGCCUGAGUGGUUGGGAUCACAGCCCUGCACCACCACCACCAGGCCUGUCUAAUUUUUGAUUUUUUUUGAAGAGACUGGCUCCAGCUGUCUUGCCCAAACUGAUCUCAAACUCCUGGGCUCAAGAAAUUCUCCUGCCUCAGUGCCUCCAAGUGCUGGGAUUAUCGUUGUGAGCCACUACUGUUGACCUGAUAUAUAAUUUUUCAAUCCACUUAAAUUUUUUAAGUUUUGUAUUUUUUAAAUUGUGGAUAAAAUUGUAUACAUUUAUCAUGUACAACAUGAUGUUUUGAAGUAUAUAUACAUUGUGGAAUAAUCAAGUGAUAUUCUACAGUCUUUCAUAUGACCACAAAUUUAUAAAAGUUCAUAUGAAAUUUUUAUUAACAACGGUUAGUUUGAUUUUGUUUAAUUUGUCGACAUACAAGUAUUUAGAUAUGACUCAAAUGUGAGUAUAUUGCAUUAAGUGUCUGUUUUCCCUUUUAUCAGUUAUACUUUAUGAAGCAAUUUAAAAAUAAAUAAAUUAGCCUCCAACUAUAUAACCAGUGAUAUCCAGCUUUAAAUGCAAUUAUUUUCAAACGUGCUGGUGUGUGUGAAACCCGACAGCUAUUGGUUACACACUAGCAGCAGCCUCACAGUAAUUAAUGCCAGAUGUGUCUAGCCAUUUCAUUAUUAAUUGGCUAUUUGCAAAAUUCAGUAUGGUGCUUUGAAAAGAGGUACAGUCAUCGAUGGGCAUUUGGGUUGAUUCCAGGUCUUUGCUAUUGUAAACAGUGCUGCAAUGAACAUUCGUGUGCAUGUGUCCUAAUAGAAGAACGAUUUAUAGUCCUUUGGAUAUAUACCCAGUAAUGAGAUUGCUGGGUCAAAUGGAAUUUCUAUUUCUAGGUCCCUGAGGAAUCUUCCACAAUGGUUGAACUAAUUUACACUCCCACCAGCAGUGUAAAAGUGUUCCUAUUUCUCCACAACUUUGUAGGGACAUGGAUGAACCUGGAGAACAUCAUUCUCAGCAAACUGACACAAGAACAGAAAAUCAAACACUGCAUGUUCUCACUCAUAGGCGGGUAUUGAACAAUGAGAACACAUGGACACAGGGAGGACAGCAUCACAC